Molecule: long non-coding RNA, 1112 nt
Organism: Eriocheir sinensis (Chinese mitten crab)
Lineage: Eukaryota; Metazoa; Arthropoda; Malacostraca; Decapoda; Varunidae
Exons: 3
Source: RefSeq, a predicted model, not a curated record
AAAUAUAAUUAAAAAGAAAAAUUGGAAGUAAGAAAGAAAAGGGAAAAGGAUGCUGCGCCGGAAGCCGCGGCGAGGAUUCCUUAUGAUGCUUGUGCGCGUCCCCGAGGCCCAUCGGUCCUUCAUCCAAGAACCGAUAAACGCGGUGACCGGCGCCUUCACGGCAUUUAUGAUUAAUUUUAUAAUCCAGUCUGGUAGUUUUAAGAAGCGAGUUCUUGCAUCUGCCCUAUUCGAAUCGGCGGGGUGGUGGAGCGCCAGCGAGCCCAAGGUCUCCCAGGCGAGCAUGGCAGGACUGGAGGGCUCCCGGCAGGGCGCCUCGGCGUCCAUCGGGACCCCGACGGAGGUGCCGGAGAUCUUUCGGUUACAACGCCGGGCAGGUGGGGCUCGUUAGCCGUGGUAGGCAAUCUGCCUAGGAGAGCAAACUCCGAACAACAAACCCGGGCAGGUGAGGUUCGUUAGCCGUGGUAGGCAAUUCACCUAGGAGAGCAAACUCCGAACAAUAAACCCGGGCAGGUGAGGUUCGUUAGCCGUGGUAGGCAAUUCACCUAGGAGAGCAAACUCCGAACAAUAAACCCGGGCAGGUGAGGUUCGUUAGCCGUGGUAGGCAAUUCACCUAGGAGAGCAAACUCCGAACAAUAAACCCGGGCAGGUUGGGCUCGUGAGCCGUCAUAGGUAAUACACCUAGGAGAGCAAACUCCGAUCAUAAAACCCGGGCAGGUUGGGCUCGUGAGCCGUCAUAGGUAAUACACCUAGGAGAGCAAACUCCGAUCAUAAAACCCGGGCAGGUGGAGCUCGUCAGCCGUGGUGGGCAAUCUGCCUAGGAGAGCAAACUCCGAACAAUAAACCCGGGCAGGUGGAGCUCGUCAGCCGUGGUAGGCAAUCUGCCUAGGAGAGCAAACUCCGAACAAUAAACCCGGGCAGGUGGAGCUCGUCAGCCGUGGUAGGCAGUCUGCCUAGGAGAGCAAACUCCGAACAAUAAACCGGGGCUUGUGGUGCUCGUUAGAUGUCGUAGACAAUCCACGUGAUGGGAACACCAAAGAAAAGGAAAAUAAAAAGGAAAACCAGAAAAAGGAAAAUAUAGUAACAAAACAUCAAGAAAAUAAAAUAAAAAACAC